RNAcentral lists this ribosomal RNA (490 nucleotides) under uncultured bacterium. RNAcentral's name for it is "partial 16S ribosomal RNA". It matches the Rfam family "Bacterial small subunit ribosomal RNA", at positions 30 to 507 of the family's 1533-position model. The record is from RNAcentral.
AUUGAACGCUGGCGGCAGGCCUAACACAUGCAAGUCGAACGGUAACAGAAAGCAGCUUGCUGCUUUGCUGACGAGUGGCGGACGGGUGAGUAAUGUCUGGGAAACUGCCUGAUGGAGGGGGAUAACUACUGGAAACGGUAGCUAAUACCGCAUAACGUCGCAAGACCAAAGAGGGGGACCUUCGGGCCUCUUGCCAUCGGAUGUGCCCAGGUGGGAUUAGCUAGUAGGUGGGGUAACGGCUCACCUAGGCGACGAUCCCUAGCUGGUCUGAGAGGAUGACCAGCCACACUGGAACUGAGACACGGUCCAGACUCCUACGGGAGGCAGCAGUGGGGAAUAUUGCACAAUGGGCGCAAGCCUGAUGCAGCCAUGCCGCGUGUAUGAAGAAGGACUUCGGGUUGUAAAGUACUUUCAGCGGGGAGGAAGGGAGUAAAGUUAAUACCUUUGCUCAUUGACGUUACCCGCAGAAGAAGCACCGGCUAACUCCGUG